This 482-nucleotide ribosomal RNA is filed under the name uncultured bacterium. Its description in RNAcentral is "bacterial SSU rRNA". It matches the Rfam family "Bacterial small subunit ribosomal RNA", at positions 29 to 506 of the family's 1533-position model. The record is from RNAcentral.
UUGAACGCUGGCGGAAUGCUUUACACAUGCAAGUCGAGCGGCAGCGCGGGGGCAACCCUGGCGGCGAGCGGCGAACGGGUGAGUAACAUAUCGGAACGUACCUUUUAGUGGGGGAUAACUAUCCGAAAGGAUAGCUAAUACCGCAUACGCCCUGAGGGGGAAAGGGGGGGAUCGCAAGACCUCUCGCUAAAAGAGCGGCCGAUAUCGGAUUAGCUAGUUGGUGGGGUAAAGGCUCACCAAGGCGACGAUCCGUAGCGGGUCUGAGAGGACGGCCCGCCACACUGGAACUGAGACACGGUCCAGACUCCUACGGGAGGCAGCAGUGGGGAAUUUUGGACAAUGGGGGCAACCCUGAUCCAGCCAUUCCGCGUGAGUGAAGAAGGCCUUCGGGUUGUAAAGCUCUUUCGGCAGGAACGAAACGGUCGUCCCUAAUACGGGUGGCUAAUGACGGUACCUGAAGAAGAAGCACCGGCUAACUACGU